RNAcentral lists this non-coding RNA (53 nucleotides) under Escherichia coli. Lineage: Bacteria; Pseudomonadati; Pseudomonadota; Gammaproteobacteria; Enterobacterales; Enterobacteriaceae. The record is from RNAcentral.
GUAUUGUUGCGCCGCGUCUGCAAAAUCAGGCGUCGGGAUUGGCAUCCUGUAAU